RNAcentral lists this RNase P RNA (350 nucleotides) under Planctomycetota bacterium. Its description in RNAcentral is "Planctomycetes bacterium RNase P RNA component class A". It matches the Rfam family "Bacterial RNase P class A". Rfam says of the family: Ribonuclease P (RNase P) is a ubiquitous endoribonuclease, found in archaea, bacteria and eukarya as well as chloroplasts and mitochondria. Its best characterised activity is the generation of mature 5'-ends of tRNAs by cleaving the 5'-leader elements of precursor-tRNAs. The record is from RNAcentral. Lineage: Bacteria; Pseudomonadati; Planctomycetota.
GGGGGGAGGUGAGGCGGUCGCUGUGGGUUUUCCCACAGAGGAAAGUCCGAACUCCGCAGGGCAGGGAAGCACGCAAGUGCCGCGCGUAAGCGCAGGGAAAGUGCCACAGAGACCAGACCGCCGCAGUUGGCUGCGGUAAGGGUGAAACGGUGGGGUAAGAGCCCACCGGCGUUCGGGGUAACCCGACGGACGGGUAAACCCUUCCCGGAGCAAGGUCAAGCAGAAACGCCUUGAGGGUUGCCCGCCCGAAUCCGAGGUUCUCCUCGGUGGCGUUUCGGGUGGACUGCAAAGAUGAAUGACCGCCCCCCUUUACGCGAGAACAGAAUUCGGCUUACCGCCUCCCCCCCAAC